AUACGUAGGGGGCGAGCGUUGUCCGGAAUGAUUGGGCGUAAAGGGCGCGUAGGCGGCCCGGUAAGUCUGGAGUGAAAGUCCUGUUUUUAAGAUGGGAAUUGCUUUGGAUACUGUCGGGCUUGAGUGCAGGAGAGGUAAGUGGAAUUCCCAGUGUAGCGGUGAAAUGCGUAGAGAUUGGGAGGAACACCAGUGGCGAAGGCGACUUACUGGGCCGUAACUGACGCUGAGGCGCGAAAGCGUGGGGAGCGAACAGGAUUAGAUACCCUGGUAGUCCACGCGGUAAACGAUGAAUGCCAGGUGUUGCGGGUAUCGACCCCUGCAGUGCCGGAGUAAACACAAUAAGCAUUCCGCCUGGGGAGUACGGCCGCAAGGUUGAAACUCAAAGGAAUUGACGGGG
This 397-nucleotide ribosomal RNA is filed under the name uncultured bacterium. RNAcentral's name for it is "partial 16S ribosomal RNA". It matches the Rfam family "Bacterial small subunit ribosomal RNA", at positions 523 to 918 of the family's 1533-position model. The record is from RNAcentral.